Molecule: ribosomal RNA, 406 nt
Filed under: uncultured bacterium
Lineage: Bacteria
Description: partial 16S ribosomal RNA
Rfam family: Bacterial small subunit ribosomal RNA
Source: RNAcentral
AUUGAACGCUGGCGGCAGGCCUAACACAUGCAAGUCGAACGAGUGGCGGACGGGUGAGUAAUAGCUGGGAAACUGCCUGAUGGAGGGGGAUAACUACUGGAAACGGUAGCUAAUACCGCAUCCCAUCAGAUGUGCCCAGAUGGGUGUAGCUAGUGGGGGGGGUAACGGCUCACCAAGGCGACGAUCCCUAGCUGGUCUGAGAGGAUGACCAGCAACACUGGAACUGAGACAAGGUCCAGACUCCUACGGGAGGCAGCAGUGGGGAAUAUUGCACAAUGGGCGCAAGCCUGAUGCAGCCAUGCCGCGUGAAUGAAGAAGGCCUUCGGGUUGUAAAGUACUGUCAGCGGGGAGGCGUUACCCGCAGAAGAAGCACCGGCUAACUCCGUGCCAGCAGCCGCGGUAAUUC